Molecule: unclassified non-coding RNA, 425 nt
Filed under: soil metagenome
Description: partial contains 5.8S ribosomal RNA, internal transcribed spacer 2, and large subunit ribosomal RNA
Rfam family: 5.8S ribosomal RNA (bases 1-120)
Source: RNAcentral
GAUGAAGAACGUAGCGAAAUGCGAUAAGUAGUGUGAAUUGCAGAAUUCCGUGAAUCAUCGAAUCUUUGAACGCACAUUGCGCCUUCUGGUAUUCCGGAAGGCAUGCCUGUUCGAGAGUCAUUAACAACCGUUUCGAUCCCUUUCUUUCAGAAAUUACAAAGAGGAAAAGGGUUUGGUUAUGGUGGAGGAGGGAAAGGGAGCGUUUAGCCUGUAAAAAAAGAGGCUGUGUUCCGCCUCCCCCCCAAAAUUGUACAGGCGGUCGUGUGCGCCCAAGCAUCGAGGUGUUGUAAAAGCUGCCACGGCACUUUUCACCUGUGCAGUGCGAGAUUGGCCAGCCGGUUUAAAAACCCCUCCAAACAAUCAAAGGUUGACCUCGCAUCAGGUAGGGAUACCCGCUGAACUUAAGCAUAUCAAUAAGCGGAGGA